UACGUAGGAUGCUAGCGUUGUCCGGAUUUACUGGGCGUAAAGCGCGCGCAGGCGGCACUGUAAGUAAGGUGUGAAAUAUCCCUGCUCAACGGGGAGGGUGCACUUUAGACUGCAGAGCUAGAGGACGGUAGAGGGGGGUGGAAUUGCUGGUGUAGCGGUGAAAUGCGUAGAGAUCAGCAGGAACACCCGUGGCUAAGGCGGCUCUCUAGUACGGUACUGACGCUGAGACGCGAAAGCGUGGGGAGCGGACAGG
RNAcentral lists this ribosomal RNA (253 nucleotides) under uncultured bacterium. Its description in RNAcentral is "partial 16S ribosomal RNA". It matches the Rfam family "Bacterial small subunit ribosomal RNA", at positions 524 to 776 of the family's 1533-position model. The record is from RNAcentral.